UGCUAUAGAAGACAUGGGAUUUGAGGCUUCAGUCGUUUCUGAAAGCUGUUCUACUAACCCUCUUGGAAAUCACAGUGCUGGGAAUUCCAUGGUGCAAACUACAGGUGGUACACCUACAUCUGUGCAGGAAGUGGCUCCCCACGCUGGGAGGCUCCCUGCAAACCAUGCCCCAGACAUCUUGGCAAAGUCCCCACAAUCAACCAGAGCAGUGGCACCGCAGAAGUGCUUCUUACAGAUCAAAGGCAUGACCUGUGCAUCCUGUGUGUCUAACAUAGAAAGGAAUCUGCAGAAAGAAGCUGGUGUUCUCUCCGUGUUGGUUGCCUUGAUGGCAGGAAAGGCAGAGGUCAAGUAUGACCCAGAGGUCAUCCAGCCACUCGAGAUAGCUCAGUUCAUCCAGGACCUGGGCUUUGAGGCAGCAGUCAUGGAGGACUACGCAGGCUCCGAUGGCAACAUUGAGCUGACGAUCACAGGGAUGACCUGCGCGUCCUGUGUCCACAACAUAGAGUCCAAACUCACGAGGACAAAUGGCAUCACUUAUGCCUCCGUUGCCCUUGCCACCAGCAAAGCCCUUGUUAAGUUUGACCCAGAAAUUAUCGGUCCACGGGAUAUUAUCAAAAUUAUUGAGGUAAGUAAUUCAUUAAAAAAUUGUAGUCACCUUUUUAAAAACAGUAAUAUAUAAUCAGUGAAGAAAAAUGAGAAAAUAUAGCUAAGAAAAAAUGAAAA
Molecule: small RNA, 723 nt
Filed under: Pan troglodytes (chimpanzee)
Lineage: Eukaryota; Metazoa; Chordata; Mammalia; Primates; Hominidae
Description: processed transcript
Source: RNAcentral